CGUUAAGAUAUUUGGUCUCGAACUGCGAAUACACGAAAGAAGAGCACGAAUAGAACAUUCAAACUACCUACAAAAUGGUUAUGGAAGUUGUUCUCGUAGCUCCUCCAACGCUUUAGUCAUUAAAUAGAUGGAGAUAAUACAUGUGCAGAGCACAAAUUGAUAAACUAAAGUGUACAUGAAUAAUGAAUUAGAGUCAAUUAUAUAUAGAAUUUGGGGAGAUGCAAUUCCGAAAGAAUUAGAAUGCCUACAUGGUAUCAUGUUGGCCAAAUAUGAUAUGACUCUUGAUCUUCUUAAGACUUAAAAGGAGUUGUUGGGACACAAGAAGUAUAAUGGAUUGGGGCUUCACAAGAAGAGUUAGGGUAGCACUCCUUGCUCAAUUAGGCGACUAAGGCUCGGGGUUUGAGGACUCCAAGCUCGGCCAUCUCCGCUAGGCUACCGGAUGGAUAUGUAGAGGGGGCAACAGGGUACCGUAUUAGGCCAUCACAUCACCUUGGAGUGAUGUGAUCAGGUGGCAAGGACACUCAUGGUCGAGACCCAUCCCUUUGUAGGUCGAGUCUAGAAGAUAUGGCCUCAUCAAAGAUCAAAGAGGAAAUAAAAAG
Molecule: long non-coding RNA, 599 nt
Filed under: Olea europaea subsp. europaea
Lineage: Eukaryota; Viridiplantae; Streptophyta; Magnoliopsida; Lamiales; Oleaceae
Source: RNAcentral